AUUGAACGCUGGCGGCAGGCCUAACACAUGCAAGUCGAACGAGUGGCGGACGGGUGAGUAAUGUCUGGGAAACUGCCCGAUGGAGGGGGAUAACUACUGGAAACGGUAGCUAAUACCGCAUACCAUCGGAUGUGCCCAGAUGGGAUUAGCUGGUAGGUGGGGUAACGGGUCACCUAGGCGACGAUCCCUAGCUGGUCUGAGAGGAUGACCAGCUGCAAUGGAACUGAGACACGGACAAGACGCCUACGGGAGGAAGCAGUGGGGAAUAUGGCACAAUGGGAGCAAGCCUGAUGCAGCCAUGCCGCGUGUAUGAAGAAGGCCUUCGGGUUGUAAAGUACUUUAAGCGAUGAGGCGUUACUCGCAGAAGAAGCACCGGCUAACUCCGUGCCAGCAGCCGCGGUAAUUC
Molecule: ribosomal RNA, 406 nt
Filed under: uncultured bacterium
Lineage: Bacteria
Description: partial 16S ribosomal RNA
Rfam family: Bacterial small subunit ribosomal RNA
Source: RNAcentral